RNAcentral lists this ribosomal RNA (306 nucleotides) under Peronia setoensis. RNAcentral describes it as "partial large subunit ribosomal RNA". Lineage: Eukaryota; Metazoa; Mollusca; Gastropoda; Systellommatophora; Onchidiidae. The record is from RNAcentral.
GGAGUCGAGUAUGAAUGGGUUUACGGAAACAAGCUGUCUCUUUUUGGUUUUAUUGAAGUUUCUUUAAGGGUGCAAAGUCCCUUGAUUAGAAAAAAGACGAGAAGACCCUUAGAGUUUUUACCAAAGAUAAAAAUUUAUUUGAGUUUUUGCUGGGGCGGCAAAGAGACAAAUAGUUAACUCUCUUUUUAUUGUUUUUAGAAGACGAAAAUGUUAAGAAUCGUUAAACUACCUUAGGGAUAACAGCAUAAUUAAGUUUUAGUUUGUGACCUCGAUGUUGGACUAGGAAGACUUUUGACCAGCAGUCAA